AAAGGAGGGAGUGGCAGAAAACGUGAGGUGGGAAUCAAAUCAUGCUGGGCUUUUUGGCCAGCAAACUUGGAAAUCAUGUCUUAGAGAUCAAGGAGCCAAGAGAUGAGACAAGCCUGGGUUCCUAGGUGAUAGGGUGUGGCUGUGUCCCCACCCAAAUCUCGUCUUGAAUUGUAGCUCCCAUAAUCCCCACAUGUUGUGGAGGGACCCUGUGGAAGAUUGUGCCUGCAGCCUGGCCUGUUGCCCACAGCGGUCUACCUGCCACACUGGGAAAGAUCGAGCAGAGACAGAGAAGAAAAGGAGGCUCCAUUUUUCAGGCUGCUCUCCCGCAGGCUCAUGUUUUGUGUUCAUGCCAGGCAGAGAACACAAAAUGUUCCAAUAAAUAAGUAUCAAAGAACAAGCAGACUCCAGUCGUAUGUCCCUGAUAUAGCUGGAGGAUCAGGUACCAGCUUUUCUAUACCUUGGCCUGAAGAUGAAUGAUAAAUCUUGCACUCACAGCCCAUUGGCCAUCACCAGUUGGUAACUGUGAAGGAACAGGAGGCAUCUACUUGUUUCCAAAGUUAUUUGGGUCAGCAUUUUCCUCCACCCACCACUUAAAACUGAUUUGUUUCAUACAUUUGAAAUGUAUGAAAAGCCAGAAAUCCAGGACCCACCCUGGCCUGCUCCCUUUUUCUCACCUACUGUGUUAAGGAUAAGUCAAUUGAGCUUCACUUCUCUAAUUGAAAUCACCGUGCUGAUGGAGUCUGUCUGUGGAAAUGAAAGGUGGCUACCAUAAUCUGUUGGGAGUUGAAUUAAUCCUCUGGGAGUGAGGCUGACCUAAUUACUCAGAAAUACUGGGCUUGCUUUCAUUCUGUGGAAUACAGCCAUGAGAAAGAGGCCAGCAUGCCAUUUCCUAAUCUUUUCUUGAAUUGCCUGAAACUCACCUAACAUGAAACUGAGAAGCCUUUUCAUUUGAAAGUGGUAUUUCUUAUGUUUUUUAUCUUUUUGCUUGAAAGUAUUCUUAAACUAAAGAAAGGAGAAACAGAAAAGGUGAAGAAGCCAAGAGGCUGGAGUUUCCUUUUGAAUGGAUAUUCAUCCAUGAAGCUGUUGAUUCUGUUUUUCUGUUCCUCCAGAUGUCUACACUUUUACCUCUGCUUGCCUGAUACAACCACCACCAGUCACCUCACAGAAUAACUCACUCCUUAAGAAUCUGAUCAGGAAUCAGCCUUCCCUGAUCACAAACACUGAGUUUAGAAGUCCCUCCACAGUGUCCCCCGUAACCCUGUGCUACCUCACUGCCUCAUAGUUUAGUGCCGUUUGUGUACAUGCCUAUCUUCGUCCAUGGAUCCAGAACAACUUGUAAAAAUGACUGUACUUAUCACCUUCAGUAUUCAAUGACUAAACUAUAAUUUUAACAUAUCUGGCAGAAUGAAUCACUUGGGGAUUUCUGCCAACACUACCAAUAUAUUACUCCUAAUUUGUAAUUAUUACUUAGCAUGGAUUAUAGUACCGGCUGUUGGAGAGCCAAUGUGGCAGACCCUAAGUGGAAUAAAAUGUCAGUAGCAGUCUAGGAGCAUAUAUUUAUUGGAAUAGAUCAUUCAUUCAUUUGUUCAUUAACUAAUUUGUUCAUUAAAUAAACAUUUAUUAAGCACUCA
This is a long non-coding RNA of Homo sapiens (human), 1631 nucleotides long. Ensembl annotates it as CCDC26 long non-coding RNA. Its record names the gene CCDC26. The record is from Ensembl. NCBI's taxonomy places the organism in Eukaryota, Metazoa, Chordata, Mammalia, Primates, Hominidae.